RNAcentral lists this transfer RNA (73 nucleotides) under Fidelibacterota bacterium. Its description in RNAcentral is "tRNA-Ala". It matches the Rfam family "tRNA". From Rfam's summary of the family: Transfer RNA (tRNA) molecules are approximately 80 nucleotides in length. Their secondary structure includes four short double-helical elements and three loops (D, anti-codon, and T loops). Further hydrogen bonds mediate the characteristic L-shaped molecular structure. tRNAs have two regions of fundamental functional importance: the anti-codon, which is responsible for specific mRNA codon recognition, and the 3' end, to which the tRNAs corresponding amino acid is attached (by aminoacyl-tRNA synthetases). tRNAs cope with the degeneracy of the genetic code in two manners: having more than one tRNA (with a specific anti-codon) for a particular amino acid; and 'wobble' base-pairing, i.e. permitting non-standard base-pairing at the 3rd anti-codon position. The record is from RNAcentral. Lineage: Bacteria; Pseudomonadati; Fidelibacterota.
GGGGCUGUAGCUCAGCUGGGAGAGCACCUGCCUUGCACGCAGGGGGUCGUCGGUUCGAAUCCGAUCAGCUCCA